RNAcentral lists this ribosomal RNA (4765 nucleotides) under Lepocinclis oxyuris var. helicoidea. RNAcentral's name for it is "Lepocinclis helicoideus partial 28S large subunit ribosomal RNA". It matches the Rfam family "Eukaryotic large subunit ribosomal RNA". Lineage: Eukaryota; Euglenozoa; Euglenophyceae; Euglenales; Phacaceae. The record is from RNAcentral.
UUUAAGCAUAUCACUCAGUGGAGGAAGCCCAAGCAACUGCGGUUGCUGCAGUAACGGCGAUUGAACUGGCCUAUGCCCUGGGUGUUUGCCUCUGGCACACCGCGGCUCAACCCGAAUGAGACGGCCUCUGCAGGUCGGCUAUUGUGGUCUCUGCAAAUGCUGUGGGUUGUCAUAGGAGCCGGUGGUGAUCGACUGCGGGCUGGCUGUUGGCGCAAGGGAAAGGCCCUGGAAUGGCCUACCCCAGAGGGAUACGGUCCCGUACUUGACACACAAGCGCUAAUGGCUGUCUGUGGGCACUUCACUGCUGGUAUCCAUGAGUAGAGCGGCUUGGGACUGCAGUUUGAAAGUGGCAGGUGUAUCCCUUGCCAAGGUGGAAUACCAACGUGGGACCGAUAGCGCACAAGUAGAGUGAUUGAAGGAUGCAAAGGACUUUGCAAAGAGGGUUAAAAGUCCCUGAAGCCUCGGCAGGAUCGGCGGUGAGUGGUGCUGUGGCAAACUUCCCAAGCGCCCUUGGGUCAGCCCGAGGCUGGCUGCGGAGCCUGCCCCUGUCUCCCCUCUGGGGAGCUUGGGUGGAUGCUCCUACUCGCAGCAGCCCUGCGGUGGCAAUCCUGCUUGCCAGGACCCGAGGCUCUGUUGAGAGGCAGUGGGUGAAAGAUGACCCUGCCAGAGAUAUACCAAACCAAAGCUGCUGGGUGUGAGAGUCCCACACUCUUCUGGGUGCUGCCUGAUGCUCUGAUGCUAUGGUGAUAUUCAGUGGAAGAGGGGUCUGGCCACCCCUGGAGUGCGCACAACUGGAACUGGCACAGUGAUGAAUCUCGGACUGCCUGUCGGCCUGCGGGCCUCGGGUGGGGCGAUGUCUGGAUUGCGGAGGAGCCGGCUCUCGCGCUGUCGCUCCGCCUUUCGGGUCGCUUCCCCCGGGCGUGUGGGCCUGUCUGGUGAGAGUGUGAGCUCUCGGUGGGGUGGUGGUGACCCACCAAGUGUCAGAGCAGACGAUGGAAGAGCACAAAGGAGGUGUGUGGAGCCCUCUCCCUGGGGAAUUGCCACAUCAUGCCAAAACCUGGUGUGUCUCCGGGCAUGCCAGUCAUCAGUGCCCAGACACGGUUCUGGGGCUGCCGGUUGUGUGGGAGUUGCACCACAUUGAUGGUGGCUGCUGCGCAUCUGUGUGGCCCCCCGGAUGGAGCCUGGUGUGGAUUGAGGCAUUCUUACCGCGCGGCAGUGUGGAGCUUGGUGUGGAAUCAGCGCCGCUCCCUGCCCGUCUUGAAACACGGACCACGGAGUCUUUGGAGCUUGCAGGUUUGCUGGUGUGAUCUUGGAAAACCCAGCCUCGGCUGGCCCUCCGGUGUGCGCCACAUCACGACACAGCUGAAACGAGAAGCGAUGAUGCAUGGUGGCCUCUCUCCUCUCGCGGAGAGAAUGCAUCGCAAGGACGGAGCAAGUGCUGUUGUCACAUGUGAUGGUGGCUCACAGGGAGUGGCAGUUCAGAGGAGAUGGGGCAUGGUGAAGGCAUCUCGGAUCCCGAGCCAUCCCAGACUGGGGGUGUGUUGGGGCAACCUGGCACACAUCACAUCUGCAUGGGACACCGGACCCGCAGCCGAUUGGACAGGGUUUUGAGUGCUUGCAAGGUCCAAGGGACCCGAAAGGUGGUGAACUAUGCCAUGCAAUGGCGAAGCCGUGGGAAACUGCGGUGGAGGCCAGUCUCUGUUCUGACGUGCAAAUUGUGUAGCCUGAGCUUGGCAUAGGGGUGAAAGGCCAAUCGAACCACCUAGUAGCUGGUUUCCCUCGAAGUUUCCCUCAGGAUAGCUGGGCUCGAGUGCAUUCCCUCCCGGCCUAGUGGGAGCUCUGACCGAUGUGGCUCUGGCCACAGAGAGAGCGGUUCUCUCGCCAGGCAUUUCUCCGAAUGUGGUUACGUCCGGUAAAGCAACGCAUGAGAGGCAUUGCGGGGAGGCUUCCCUCCUCGACCUAUCCUCGAACUGUGAAUGGGCGUGGUGUGGGAGACACCACUAUACCCUGCACAAGGCACGCUUCUUCAGUGAAUGCUGCGAGUCCAGGAAGUCCUUCACCUGGUGCUCCGAAUGCUUCUGAGCGUGUUGCCCCUGAGGCAAAAAAUGGAGCGAUGCCCGAUGCCUUCUCCAGUCUCUCUGCUGUUGUCUCGGCCACCGCCCGCUGGGCUUUUUGUGAUGACGGAGUUCUGCUGUGGGUGCUGCAUCACGCUGCACAUUUGCAGCAAGAGGAGCCUGAGCUGCCAGCCCAGUUGGGAGAGUGGCUUUGCACACAGAGCGAAGUUGCAUUGCUAUUCUGGACGUGUUGCCACUGCUUGGAGAGAUGCUAUCCGGCUGAGCGAAACCCUGUCUCGAACUGGUGAGAGACAGCCACAGUGGGCGGCUGUGCAGACCCCGGAUGCCGCGUGGAGCGGGCGACUGAGGGUGGUGCAGUGGAGGCCUGGCUCCCGCCAGGCCCCUGCAUGGACACCCCAGCAGAGGCUUCUGCUGUUGUUGCCUGCCCAUCCAUCCUCGGGAUGCUUGCUGCUGCUGGGCUGGAACUCCGUCUGCCAAAGGGAACAAACUGAGCCUAUGUGGGCCAAUACUGGUAAGCAGUGCUGGCGAUGCGGGGUGCUCCGAGAGUGGACUUACAGAUCCAGAGUGCUGGCUCAUACACAGAUCCCACAAAGGAUGUCGCAUGCUAUGGAUAGCAGGUCGGUGGCCAUGAAGGUUGGAACCCGCUGAGGAAUGUGUAACAACUCACCUGCCGAAGUGUGCGGCUCCGAAAAUGGAUGGUGCCCAAGUCAGUGAAGCCUUGUUGCUGUGAAGCCUCACAGUCCACCGUUGCUGUGACCAGCUGAGCAGAGCAUCACCGUGUAGGGAGGACACGGAAGACCCAAGCUGAUCAAGUUGGGGCUGCCCCCGACUGGAGCGUCUUCUGGCGCAGAUCUUGGUUGCAGUAGCGAGUACUCCAUCGGGUGAAGAGCGGGUCAACCCCGCUGUGUGUGGUUGAGGACUGGAGUGGAGCAGGUUUCCGCACCAACAGCCGUUGGAUGCGGGUCAACCGACCGUGAGCCAAGUGGUAAAUCCAUUGAGCAACCAAAGCUGCCUAGCCUCUGGGCAGGAGUGGCAAACAGGCAAGCAGUUGCAACAUUCUGCUGUGGCGGGCUGGGGCUCAUCAUUCGAUGCUGGGUGGUGACGCCUGACAUGACUGGGAUCCGAGCAGGCUGCGGGGCAGUGCACCCCUCGAGGAGUUUUCGUUUCCUUCUGAUGCAGGUCUCAUGUGGGCUGUCGAUUGGCAUGACAGAUGGUGGUGCAAGCCCUCCGGCCAGCAAGGCAGCGUGCUCUAUGCGCUGGCAGAGUUGCAGAGUCCUCAGAGAAAGGGGCGCCAUCAUUUGAACCGUGCCGAGAGACACGUGUGAGUGAUCAAAACCAGAAGCCCGACAUGUGGACAUCCGGUGGACACUGGCCCCACAGAACUGCCUGCGAGGACUUGGGCCCUGGUCCCUUGCCCUCGUACCGAAUCACCGCAGCCGGUCUCUCCGGCUAGACGCCGCUGGUCAACGGAUCGAAUGCAGCUAAGGGAAGUCGGCAAACUAGCCGCGUACCUUUGGAAGAUGCGGUGGCUCCAGAGGCCAAGCCACGGGGUCCCACCACGGGCGGUGGCUGCGUGGAUGGRAAGGGGUGGCUKCCCCUCGCGGUGUGUGUGGUUUCGGCCAUGCAUUCCCGUGGGUGGGAAGGCUGCUCUGAACCUGACCCAGCGCCGUUCGAAACCCAACCGAAGCUGGCAAGUUGUUGAGACGAUGUGCAGUCGCACUGGCAAAUGGACAGACCCUUUCCUGCUGGAGAAGACAGGGUUGUGGCCCUGGGGAACCGCACCCUGAAGUCGAAACCCGACACACACACGGCCGAAGUGCCGAUGCGAUGGAGAGAGGCAGUGCUGGCAAACCGACGAGAUGAAAGGCCGAGAGUGCCUGAUGAUGCAAAGCAGUGCUGGGACACAUCAUUCAUGGGAACUCUGUAUGGAUUGGGAGCGAGCCCACGACUCCCUUCUGCAAAGCCAAAGCCUGGCAGCCACUUCGGUGGUGUGGCCUCGCGCCCCUGGGAUGUGCUGCCCGUGGGCCUUCAAACCCUCACGUGCGCCUCCCGUACUCCGAGCCAUCUGGCUCGUUUGGCGACAAGGACAUUGCAGUGUUGGAGUGCCACAGCUUUCCCAGGGAUGUGGAUCAGAUGGGGAGCUUGUGGGCUCGUUCCCUUCCGGCCUUCGGUGUUGCCUCGCACCACAGUCUCAUCAGCAGUGGGAAUUGGAAUGCCAAGCCAAAGCGACACGCCAUGCGGAUGCUGAACUGGCUCCGGCCAGAUAUCAGAGGGAAAGAAGCAUUGCCAGAAGGACAGAAUCGCAUAUCACUCAGUGGUGGGGGGUGUUGGAAGGCCCGUCAUGGUCCCCCUCGGGGGUUCCCAGCGGAUUGACCGCACCCAUCCCCGUGGCUGAAAGGUGGCCCACAUGGAACUGUUGCUGCGCAGGGGAAUCUGACUGUUUAAUUGAAACCCAGCUUUGUGACGGGUCCAGCUGGCUGGACCCGCGAGGUGACUUCUGCCCAGUGCUCUGAUUGUCAUGGCCAAGAGAUUGAGCCAAGCGCGGGUAAACGGCGGGAGUAACUAUGACUCUCUUGAGGUAGCCAAAUGCCUCGUCAACCAAUUAUUGACGCGCAUGAAUGGAUCAACGAGAUUCCUGCUGUCCCUGGGUGCUCUCCGGUGAACCCACAGCCAAGGGAACGGGCUUGGGC